GGGGCGGUGGGGGCGUGCUACCAUGCAGUCGAACGAUGAUCCGGUGCUUGCACCGGUGAUUAGUGGCGAACGGGUGAGUAACACGUGAGUAACCUGCCCUUGACUCUGGGAUAAGCCUGGGAAACUGGGUCUAAUACCGGAUAUGACUCCUCAUCGCAUGGUGGGGGGUGGAAAGCUUUUUUGUGGUUUUGGAUGGACUCGCGGCCUAUCACCUUGUUGGUGAGGUAAUGGCUCACCAAGGCGACAACGGGUAGCCGGCCUGAAAGGGUGACCGGCCACACUGGGACUGAAACACGGCCCAAACUCCUACGGGAGGCAGCAGUGGGGAAUAUUGCACAAUGGGCGAAAGCCUGAUGCACCGACCCCGCGUGAGGGAUGACGGCCUUCGGGUUGUAAACCUCUUUCAGUAGGGAAAAAGCGAAAGUGACGGUACCUGCAAAAAAAGCGCCGGCUAACUACGUGCCAGCAGCCGCGGUAAUACGUAGGGCGCAAGCGUUAUCCGGAAUUAUUGGGCGUAAAGAGCUCGUAGGCGGUUUGUCGCGUCUGCCGUGAAAGUCCGGGGCUCAACUCCGAAUCUGCGGUGGGUACGGGCAAACUAGAGUGAUGUAGGGGAGACUGGAAUUCCUGGUGUAGCGGUGAAAUGCGCAGAUAUCAGGAGGAACACCGAUGGCGAAGGCAGGUCUCUGGGCAUUAACUGACGCUGAGGAGCGAAAGCAUGGGGAGCGAACAGGAUUAGAUACCCUGGUAGUCCAUGCCGUAAACGUUGGGCACUAGGUGUGGGGGACAUUCCACGUUUUCCGCGCCGUAGCUAACGCAUUAAGUGCCCCGCCUGGGGGAGUACGGCCGCAAGGCUAAAACUCAAAGGAAUUGACGGGGGCCCGCACAAGCGGCGGAGCAUGCGGAUUAAUUCGAUGCAACGCGAAGAACCUUACUAAGGCUUGACAUGAACCGGAAACGUCUGGAAACAGGCGCUCCCACUUGUGUCGGUUUACAGGUGGUGCAUGCUGUCGUCAGCUCGUGUCGUGAGAUGUGGGUUAAGUCCCGCAACGAGCGCAACCUCGUUCAUGUGCCAGCGCGUAAUGGCGGGACUC
RNAcentral lists this ribosomal RNA (1091 nucleotides) under Pseudarthrobacter oxydans. RNAcentral describes it as "bacterial SSU rRNA". It matches the Rfam family "Bacterial small subunit ribosomal RNA", at positions 30 to 1140 of the family's 1533-position model. The record is from RNAcentral. Lineage: Bacteria; Bacillati; Actinomycetota; Actinomycetes; Micrococcales; Micrococcaceae.